This 536-nucleotide ribosomal RNA is filed under the name Diaporthe goulteri. RNAcentral's name for it is "eukaryotic LSU rRNA". The stretch from base 189 to 342 matches the Rfam family "5.8S ribosomal RNA". The record is from RNAcentral. Lineage: Eukaryota; Fungi; Ascomycota; Sordariomycetes; Diaporthales; Diaporthaceae.
GAGGGAUCAUUGCUGGAACGCGCCCCUGGCGCACCCAGAAACCCUUUGUGAACUUAUACCUACCGUUGCCUCGGCGCAGGCCGGCCCCCCUCACCGGGGGCCCCCCGGAGACGGGGAGCAGCCCGCCGGCGGCCAACCAAACUCUUGUUUCUUAGUGAAUCUCUGAGUAAAAAUCAUAAAUGAAUCAAAACUUUCAACAACGGAUCUCUUGGUUCUGGCAUCGAUGAAGAACGCAGCGAAAUGCGAUAAGUAAUGUGAAUUGCAGAAUUCAGUGAAUCAUCGAAUCUUUGAACGCACAUUGCGCCCUCUGGUAUUCCGGAGGGCAUGCCUGUUCGAGCGUCAUUUCAACCCUCAAGCCUGGCUUGGUGAUGGGGCACUGCCUUCGUAACAGAGGGCAGGCCCUGAAAUCUAGUGGCGAGCUCGCUAGGACCCCGAGCGUAGUAGUUUAUAUCUCGUUCUGGAAGGCCCUGGCGGUGCCCUGCCGUUAAACCCCCAACUUCUGAAAAUUUGACCUCGGAUCAGGUAGGAAUACCCGC